This 209-nucleotide ribosomal RNA is filed under the name Crematogaster limata. RNAcentral describes it as "partial large subunit ribosomal RNA". Lineage: Eukaryota; Metazoa; Arthropoda; Insecta; Hymenoptera; Formicidae. The record is from RNAcentral.
GAAUUUUAUAUAGUUAAUUUGUUUGAUUAAGUUAGUAGGAUGGAGUUAAUUAUAUUUGGUUGGGAGGAUUGUUAAAUUAAAAAAACUUUAGUUAAGUUAGAAUAUAAAUUAAUAGAUUAAGGAAUGGUUAAUAAAUUAAAAAAGAAUUAAUUACCUUAGGGAUAACAGCGUAAUAUUUUUAGAGAGUUCAUAUUAAUAAAAAUGUUUGC